This 447-nucleotide ribosomal RNA is filed under the name uncultured bacterium. Its description in RNAcentral is "bacterial SSU rRNA". It matches the Rfam family "Bacterial small subunit ribosomal RNA", at positions 330 to 793 of the family's 1533-position model. The record is from RNAcentral.
UCCAGACUCCUACGGGAGGCAGCAGUCGGGAAUAUUGCACAAUGGAGGAAACUCUGAUGCAGUGACACCGCGUAUAGGAAGAAGGUUUUCGGAUUGUAAACUAUUUUAGACAGGGAAGAAGAAAGACAGUACCUGUAGAAUAAGCUCCGGCUAACUACGUGCCAGCAGCCGCGGUAAUACGUAGGGAGCAAGCGUUAUCCGGAAUUAUUGGGUGUAAAGGGCGUGUAGGCGGGAGCGCAAGUCAGAUGUGAAAACUCAGGGCUCAACCCUGAGCCUGCAUUUGAAACUGUGUUUCUUGAGUGCUGGAGAGGCAAUCGGAAUUCCGUGUGUAGCGGUGAAAUGCGUAGAUAUACGGAGGAACACCAGUGGCGAAGGCGGAUUGCUGGACAGUAACUGACGCUGAGGCGCGAAAGCGUGGGGAGCACACAGGAUUAGAUACCCUCGUAC